UAAGCUGCAACAACUUAUUGAAUAUCAUGCAUCAUAAGAAAUUAUAUAUAUUCCCACCUGAAACCGUGAAAAUUGAGAGAUAUAAAAAUGUUGAGCUUCCAAUAUCCUUGGUUUCAUGCGACCGUGCACAGUGUGAAGUGUGAACCACUAGUUUUAUCACUUUAUGGAGUGUGAUCGAGCACAUGGGCUUUCGUCCAACACUUUGAUUUGUGGGGGAUCACUUCAAUUUUCAAUACAAAAAAGAGAAAUGGCUUUCUCAUUAAUUUGGGAAUAACGCGGUCAGAAGAUCAACGUUUAUAGAUGGAACGAAACAAAAUGUUUAAAGAAAAGAAAGGAUGACACAUUUUACCGAUGGAUUUAUUCAAAACUUA
Molecule: long non-coding RNA, 371 nt
Filed under: Glycine max (soybean)
Lineage: Eukaryota; Viridiplantae; Streptophyta; Magnoliopsida; Fabales; Fabaceae
Description: long non-coding RNA (GMAX_LNC004681)
Source: RNAcentral